This is a long non-coding RNA of Patella vulgata (common limpet), 1532 nucleotides long. RefSeq lists it as uncharacterized. Lineage: Eukaryota; Metazoa; Mollusca; Gastropoda; Patellidae. The record is from RefSeq and is a predicted model, not a curated record. The transcript has 3 exons.
CCAUGUUUCCAAACAGAGUUAUCUUUCCGUGACCCGCAAAUUAUAUUUUUAACAAUGAGUUGAAUUCUAUAGGAGGUGUUGGAACUCCCGCAAACAGUGCCGGUGGUGCAAAGAAGAAAUGGGAAACAUUACCAGGCUGCCAGACACGCCCCAUUGAUAACAAAGGUCUGCCUGCUGCCGCUGUACACAAAACACCCAACCCAGAACCAAUCGAUGCCACAAAAUUGCCGCUAGCAGAAAAAAUUCGACGACUUUCAAUGUUUUUACGAAGUGAAAAAAAAGUAAUCAAUGAAAUUAUGUUGUUUGAGAAUUCUCUGAUGAGUUGUAAAGUUGGAAUUUGACCAGAUUUUUUGAUCGAUGGCAUGGUACAAGGAAAGAACGGAUCCUUUUUCACUGGCCGACUUAAUCUGGGUGGUGUGUUCCUAGCCAGAGCUAUCGGCAUCAACAAGAAAGAAAUCAAACUGUCAUGUUUCAAGAAGGCGGUGGAACUUUAUCGUACCCUUCCUGUCACUGAAAUUUUGAACCAGGAUGAUAUGACCCCAAAAGUUAUCAAGGAGAAACUGGAGAAUUUUAACUCGACCGUUGCUAAGAUGGAGAAAGAAACAAUUGCAGAGUUACCCCCACCAUCUAUUUUGAAACAGAUCCAAGAUAUUCUAACCAAUCCUAAAUAUGCUUCAACCAAUUCAGUCAGCAAAAUGGAGUUGGCGGCCUCUGUGGCUAAAUGUCGAGUCCGUUGUCGAUAUGAUGUAGAGAGUUGUAAAGCUGAAUCAGGGAAAGUUUAUCAUAAGGGAAUGUACUUUAUUGACAACAUACUACAAGGUGCAGGUGUUUCAGUUUCCAAAAAAACUGCUAAGUCAUUGUGUUAUAAUAUGGUGGUUGAACGACUGACCACCAUGAAUGUUGAACAUGGCAACAUCUUAGAUGGUGUCGAACAGUCUGUCAUAACAGAAGCAGAAGCACAGGUUCAGAGCACUUUGGUAAAGGCAGCACCAAAUCCUAGGGCAUUUGAUCUCCGUGAACAGUUUGUCAAAAUGAACGAACUUAGCAGUGCCACGCAUCCUGCAUCCAUCAUUACUGUCUUGGAUGGAAUUUUCAACGAUGUAAAAUUGACGCCCAUUUGUCUAUACCGUCGUAGCAUGAACACAGAAAUAGAAAAGGAGAAAAUUUUCUGUAACCUCUAUCUAGCUGGUCAUCUCAUCAUGAUUGGUGAAGCAGAGAACCGAACAGAUGCCCAAGCAGACGCUUACUCUAAAGCCCGAUAAGUUUCACGAACUGUGACCCCGAGUUCAUCCUCCCCCAACACAGUAAACUUCAACCACACGACCAAGCAGCAACAGAUGUUAUCGACUUUCGUGUCAAGGGCAACUGCAUUUUGGAAGAUAACUGUUCGAAUCUUCAUCGCUUACAAUGGACCCGAAAACCUAUAUCAACACUACCAGCCAAGGAUAUCGUUGUCUUUGAGGACGUCAGUUGGAUAGUAGAUCGUAAAGUUCAAGGUUUCUAUAUUUUACAACAUUCAUGUUUUGUCAACA